This 90-nucleotide transfer RNA is filed under the name Elusimicrobiota bacterium. Its description in RNAcentral is "Elusimicrobia bacterium (bioreactor metagenome) tRNA-Ser". It matches the Rfam family "tRNA". From Rfam's summary of the family: Transfer RNA (tRNA) molecules are approximately 80 nucleotides in length. Their secondary structure includes four short double-helical elements and three loops (D, anti-codon, and T loops). Further hydrogen bonds mediate the characteristic L-shaped molecular structure. tRNAs have two regions of fundamental functional importance: the anti-codon, which is responsible for specific mRNA codon recognition, and the 3' end, to which the tRNAs corresponding amino acid is attached (by aminoacyl-tRNA synthetases). tRNAs cope with the degeneracy of the genetic code in two manners: having more than one tRNA (with a specific anti-codon) for a particular amino acid; and 'wobble' base-pairing, i.e. permitting non-standard base-pairing at the 3rd anti-codon position. The record is from RNAcentral. Lineage: Bacteria; Pseudomonadati; Elusimicrobiota.
GGAGGGAUGGCCGAGUGGUUGAAGGCGCCGGUCUUGAAAACCGGUGUGGGUGCAAGCUCACCGGGGGUUCGAAUCCCUCUCCCUCCGCCA